Molecule: ribosomal RNA, 253 nt
Filed under: uncultured bacterium
Lineage: Bacteria
Description: partial 16S ribosomal RNA
Rfam family: Bacterial small subunit ribosomal RNA
Source: RNAcentral
UACGUAGGGGGCUAGCGUUGUCCGGAUUUAUUGGGCGUAAAGAGCGUGUAGGCGGCCAGGUAGGUCUGGUGUGAAAACUCGAGGCUUAACCUCGAGAUGUCAUCGGAAACCAUCUGGCUAGAGUCCGGAAGAGGAGAGUGGAAUUCCUGGUGUAGCGGUGAAAUGCGCAGAUAUCAGGAAGAACACUAAUGGCGAAAGCAGCUCUCUGGGACGGUACUGACGCUGAGACGCGAAAGCGUGGGGAGCGAACAGG